RNAcentral lists this long non-coding RNA (648 nucleotides) under Mus musculus (house mouse). RNAcentral describes it as "Hand2, opposite strand 1". Lineage: Eukaryota; Metazoa; Chordata; Mammalia; Rodentia; Muridae. The record is from RNAcentral.
AGUGGCCUGUUUGCUUAGGCACUGAAGUGGAUGACCCAAGUUAGGAUGACAACUUGCAGAGAACGCGGAUGAGACCUUCAGUUUGUGCCCACACUCAUUUGCAGCAACCCUAACAGAGAUUGCGAAGAUUUUCAAAGUGGGGCACCUCGAUUUCUCGAAUCUGUGGUGUGGCGAAUAUCCGUGUUCCUCCUGCUUAACUAGCCUGUUUGCAUCUUUUGACACAUUUUACUUCCGUAAUUUCGGACUGCCAGAAGGCACAGUUCAUUCUCGAGCAAUUCGUCACCUCCUGGGGGUCUUCUCUUCCCGUCUACAGGAGAGUGUGACUUCAGAAAGAACUUCGGAUUGGCCAAGGUCUGAUUCUAUUUAUUCUAAAGACAGAGUUGGAGAUGGGCUACCAUUGGUGUUGAUUGAGAUGACAAGCAGUCACCUGAGCCCAUACAGCUGGUAAGUAGAACAGUACUGGAGAGAUGGCUCAGCAGUUAAGAGCACUGACUGCUCUUCCAGAGAUCCUGAGUUCAAUUCCCAGCAACCACAUGGUGGCUCACAAACAUCUGUAAUGAGAUCAGGUGCCCUCUUCUGGUGCCUUUGAAGACAAAGACAGUGUAGUGUCAUAUAUAUAAAAUAAAUAAAUCUUUAGAAAUUUGAAAA